Molecule: ribosomal RNA, 253 nt
Filed under: uncultured bacterium
Lineage: Bacteria
Description: partial 16S ribosomal RNA
Rfam family: Bacterial small subunit ribosomal RNA
Source: RNAcentral
GACAUAGGUGGCGAACGUUAUCCGGUUUUAUUGGGUGUAAAGGGUGCGUAGAUGGUGAAACAAGUUAGCGGUGGGAAAUCAGGGCUCAACCCUGUGGAAGCCGGUAAUACUGUUUUGCUUGAGGACAGGAGAGGUUGGUGGAACAGCUAGUGUAGAGGUGAAAUUCGUAGAUAUUAGCUAGAACACCAGUGGCGAAGGCGGCCAACUGGUCCGGAACUGACGCUGAGGUGCGAAAGCGUGGGGAGCAAACAGG